Long non-coding RNA from Helianthus annuus (common sunflower), 253 nucleotides. RefSeq lists it as uncharacterized. The transcript is spliced from 3 exons. The record is from RefSeq and is a predicted model, not a curated record. Lineage: Eukaryota; Viridiplantae; Streptophyta; Magnoliopsida; Asterales; Asteraceae.
AGGUUUACAAUAUUUCUGGGUCAUCUUCAUUAAGUAUCAGAGAACCCUGUUUCUGUAGGCAUAUGAAAAAAGCAGAUGAGAUAAUUCUGUCUAUUCCUUCUGAUGCUGCUUGCAAGCUGUGGGGUGUUGAUAUGGGCCCUACAAAUGUUGACAUACAUACUGAUGAUGGCCGCAUUUUUAAUGUUUGUUUAACCGAAUCUAAAGGAAAUUUGUUCUUUUUCCAUGGAUGGUCCAAUGUAACCCAACAUUUGGG